GAUGAACGCUGGCGGCGUGCCUAAUACAUGCAAGUAGAACGCUGAAGCUUGGUGCUUGCACCGAGCGGAUGAGUUGCAAACGGGUGAGUAACGCGUAGGUAACCUGCCUCUUAGCGGGGGAUAACUAUUGGAAACGAUAGCUAAUACCGCAUAAAAGUUGACAUUGCAUGAUGUUGAUUUGAAAGAUGCAAUUGCAUCACUAAGAGAUGGACCUGCGUUGUAUUAGCUAGUUGGUGAAGUAACGGCUCACCAAGGCGACGAUACAUAGCCGACCUGAGAGGGUGAUCGGCCACUCUGGGACUGAGACACGGCCCAGGCUCCUACGGGAGGCAGCAGUAGGGAAUCUUCGGCAAUGGACGGAAGGCUGACCGAGCAACGCCGCGUGAGUGAAGAAGGUUUUCGGAUCGUAAAGCUCUGUUGUAAGAGAAGAACGAGUGUGAGAGUGGAAAGUUCACACUGUGACGGUAACUAACCAGAAAGGGACGGCUAACUACGUG
RNAcentral lists this ribosomal RNA (497 nucleotides) under uncultured bacterium. Its description in RNAcentral is "partial 16S ribosomal RNA". It matches the Rfam family "Bacterial small subunit ribosomal RNA", at positions 28 to 507 of the family's 1533-position model. The record is from RNAcentral.